Molecule: long non-coding RNA, 389 nt
Filed under: Prunus dulcis (almond)
Lineage: Eukaryota; Viridiplantae; Streptophyta; Magnoliopsida; Rosales; Rosaceae
Description: sRNA ncRNA
Source: RNAcentral
CCACCAACAGUAAGGAGUGGGCACUCACUCCUAUAGUGCCCUGUCUGCCCGCAAUGAUAACAUGACACUCCACUCCUCCGGCUAGGGCCACUGGUCUGCCCACGUUGUGGGCAGUCCCUCCUGAGAUGUCCUGUCUGCCCACAACCGUGACAGGUUGCAUUAUACUGUUGCGAAAAAUCCUUGGCUGUACUGGUCACCGACUGCUGUCCCGACUGCUGGCUCCAAGCUGGUCGUGAGCCAGACCUCCCACCGCCUGAACUGGAACCACGUCCUCCCGACCAUUCACUACCAGCAGAAUUAGAGCUGGAUCCACCCCUCUUUGAUGGACCCUGACUUGGCUCACCAAAACCUGAGGAGUCCCUGCGGCGCCUACCAAUGCCCGCUCCCAA